GACGAACGCUGGCGGCGUGCCUAACACAUGCAAGUCGAACGGAGUAAGUAGCAAUACUUACUUAGUGGCGAACGGGUGAGUAACGCGUAGACAACCUGCCUCUAAAUUGGGGACAACACCGCGAAAGUGGUGCUAAUACCGAAUGUGGUAUCUUGGCUGCAUGGCUAAGAUAAGAAAGAUGGCCUCUGAAUAUGCUAUCGUUUAGAGAUGGGUCUGCGUCUGAUUAGCUAGUUGGUGAGGUAAUAGCUCACCAAGGCGACGAUCAGUAGCCGGUCUGAGAGGAUGAACGGCCACACUGGGACUGAGACACGGCCCAGACUCCUACGGGAGGCAGCAGUGGGGAAUCUUCCGCAAUGGACGAAAGUCUGACGGAGCAACGCCGCGUGAGUGAAGAAGGCCUUCGGGUCGUAAAGCUCUGUCGUUUGGGACGAACGUGCUCUAUGUGAAUAAUGUAGAGUAAUGACGGUACCAAAGGAGGAAGCCACGGCUAACUACGUG
Molecule: ribosomal RNA, 498 nt
Filed under: uncultured bacterium
Lineage: Bacteria
Description: bacterial SSU rRNA
Rfam family: Bacterial small subunit ribosomal RNA
Source: RNAcentral